RNAcentral lists this ribosomal RNA (299 nucleotides) under uncultured bacterium. RNAcentral describes it as "partial 16S ribosomal RNA". It matches the Rfam family "Bacterial small subunit ribosomal RNA", at positions 333 to 645 of the family's 1533-position model. The record is from RNAcentral.
UGACCUACGGGAGGCAGCAGUCGAGAAUCAUUCACAAUGGGGGAAACCCUGAUGGUGCGACGCCGCGUGGGGGAAUGAAGGUCUUCGGAUUGUAAACCCCUGUCAUGUGGGAGCAAAUUAAAAAGAUAGUACCACAAGAGGAAGAGACGGCUAACUCUGUGCCAGCAGCCGCGGUAAUACAGAGGUCUCAGGCGUUGCUCGGAAUCACUGGGCGUAAAGCGUGCGUAGGCUGUUUCGGAAGUCGUGUGUGAAAGGCGCGGGCUCAAACCGCGGACGGCACAUGAUGCUGCGAGACUAGA